GAUGAACGCUGGCGGUAUGCUUAACACAUGCAAGUCGAACGGACUCUUCGGAGUUAGUGGCGGACGGGUGAGUAACGCGUGAGAAUCUGGCUUUGGGUUCGGGACAACCACUGGAAACGGUGGCUAAUACCGGAUGUGCCGAGAGGUAAAAGAGAAAGUGCCUGAAGAUGAGCUCGCGUCUGAUUAGCUAGUUGGUGAGGUAAGGGCUCACCAAGGCAGCGAUCAGUAGCUGGUCUGAGAGGAUGACCAGCCACACUGGGACUGAGACACGGCCCAGACGCCUACGGGAGGCAGCAGUGGGGAAUUUUCCGCAAUGGGCGAAAGCCUGACGGAGCAAUACCGCGUGAGGGAAGAAGGCUCUUGGGUUGUAAACCUCUUUUCUUAGGGAAGAACAAAAUGACGGUACCUAAGGAAUCAGCAUCGGCUAACUCCGUG
This 435-nucleotide ribosomal RNA is filed under the name uncultured bacterium. RNAcentral describes it as "partial 16S ribosomal RNA". It matches the Rfam family "Bacterial small subunit ribosomal RNA", at positions 28 to 507 of the family's 1533-position model. The record is from RNAcentral.